CCUACGGGAGGCAGCAGUGGGGAAUAUUGGGCAAUGGAGGCAACUCUGACCCAGCAACGCCGCGUGAAUGAUGAAGGUCUUCGGAUUGUAACGUUCUUUUCUAAGGGAAGAAGAAAGUGACGGUACCUUAGGCAUAAGCCUAGGCUACCUACGUGCCAGCAGCCGCGGUACUACGUAGGAGCCAAGCGUUAACCGGAAUGACUGGGCGUAAAGGGUGCGUAGGUGGUUUGACAAGUUAGUAGCGCAACUCCGGAGCUCAACUUCGGAACUACUACUAAAACUGGUGGGCGUGAGUGCAGGAGAGGCAAGUAGAAUUCCAAGUGUAGCGGUGGAAUGCGUAGAUAUUAGGAGGAACACCAGUGGCGAAGGCGGAUUGCUAGACUGAAACUGACGCUGAGGCACGAAAGCGUGGGGAGCAAACAGGAUUAGAUACCCCUGUAGUC
This 443-nucleotide ribosomal RNA is filed under the name uncultured bacterium. RNAcentral's name for it is "partial 16S ribosomal RNA". It matches the Rfam family "Bacterial small subunit ribosomal RNA", at positions 338 to 795 of the family's 1533-position model. The record is from RNAcentral.